This 505-nucleotide ribosomal RNA is filed under the name uncultured bacterium. Its description in RNAcentral is "bacterial SSU rRNA". It matches the Rfam family "Bacterial small subunit ribosomal RNA", at positions 28 to 508 of the family's 1533-position model. The record is from RNAcentral.
AGCGAACGCUGGCGGCGUACUUAACACAUGCAAGUCGAACGGGGAUCAUUGUGUGAGCAAUCAUGUGAUGGUCCUAGUGGCGCACGGGUGAGUAACACGUGGGUAACCUGCCCUUGAGAUCGGGAUACCCCCUCGAAAGGGGGGCUAAUACCGGAUACGUUCCUCGGAUCGAGAGACCUGGGGAAGAAAGGUGGCGCAAGCUGCCGCUCUUGGAGGGGCUCGCGGCCUAUCAGCUAGUUGGCGGGGUAACGGCCCACCAAGGCUAUGACGGGUAGCUGGUCUGAGAGGACGACCAGCCACACGGGGACUGAGACACGGCCCCGACUCCUACGGGAGGCAGCAGUGGGGAAUUUUCCGCAAUGGGCGAAAGCCUGACGGAGUGACGCCGCGUGUGGGAUGAAGGCCUUCGGGUCGUAAACCACUGUCAGUGGGAAAGAUGGGUGUCGGCGCGAUAACCGCCGGCAUCUGACGGUACCUGCAGAGGAAGCCCCGGCUAACUCUGUGC